ACGCUGGCGGCGUGCCUAAUACAUGCAAGUAGAACGCUGAAGGAGGAGCUUGCUUCUCCGGAUGAGUUGCGAACGGGUGAGUAACGCGUAGGUAACCUGCCUGGUAGCGGGGGAUAACUAUUGGAAACGAUAGCUAAUACCGCAUAAUAGUAGAUGUUGCAUGACAUUUACUUAAAAGGUGCAAUUGCAUCACUACCAGAUGGACCUGCGUUGUAUUAGCUAGUUGGUGGGGUAACGGCUCACCAAGGCGACGAUACAUAGCCGACCUGAGAGGGUGAUCGGCCACACUGGGACUGAGACACGGCCCAGACUCCUACGGGAGGCAGCAGUAGGGAAUCUUCGGCAAUGGACGGAAGUCUGACCGAGCAACGCCGCGUGAGUGAAGAAGGUUUUCGGACCGUAAAGCUCUGUUGUAAGAGAAGAACGAGUGUGAGAGUGGAAAGUUCACACUGUGACGGUAUCUUACCAGAAAGGGACGGCUAACUACGUGCCAGCAGCCGCGGUAAUACGUAGGUCCCGAGCGUUGUCCGGAUUUAUUGGGCGUAAAGCGAGCGCAGGCGGUUAGAUAAGUCUGAAGUUAAAGGCUGUGGCUUAACCAUAGUACGCUUUGGAAACUGUUUAACUUGAGUGCAAGAGGGGAGAGUGGAAUUCCAUGUGUAGCGGUGAAAUGCGUAGAUAUAUGGAGGAACACCGGUGGCGAAAGCGGCUCUCUGGCUUGUAACUGACGCUGAGGCUCGAAAGUGUGGGGAGCAAACAGGAUUAGAUACCCUGGUAGUCCACGCCGUAAACGAUGAGUGCUAGGUGUUAGACCCUUUCCGGGGUUUAGUGCCGCAGCUAACGCAUUAAGCACUCCGCCUGGGGAGUACGACCGCAAGGUUGAAACUCAAAGGAAUUGACGGGGGCCCGCACAAGCGG
RNAcentral lists this ribosomal RNA (915 nucleotides) under uncultured bacterium. RNAcentral's name for it is "bacterial SSU rRNA". It matches the Rfam family "Bacterial small subunit ribosomal RNA", at positions 33 to 932 of the family's 1533-position model. The record is from RNAcentral.